CCUACGGGUGGCAGCAGUGGGGGAUAUUGCACAAUGAGGGAAACCCUGAUGCAGCGACGCCGCGUGUAGGAAGACGGUCCUCUGGAUUGUAAACUACUGUCCCCAGGGACGAAGAUGACGGUACCUGGGGAGGAAGCUCCGGCUAACUACGUGCCAGCAGCCGCGCUAAUACGUAGGGAGCGAGCGUUGUCGGGAAUUACUGGGGGAAAAGGGAGCGUAGGCGGGGAUGCAAGUUGGGUGUUAAAUCUACCGGCUCAACUGGGAGUUGCACUCAAAACUGCAGAUCUUGAGUGAAGUAGAGGCAGGCGGAAGUCCUGGUGUAGCGGUGAAAUGCGUAGAUAUUAGGAGGAACACCAGUGGCGAAGGCGGCCUGCUGGGCUUUUACUGACGCUGAGGCUCGAAAGUGUGGGGAGCAAACAGGAUUAGAUACCCCAGUAGUC
Molecule: ribosomal RNA, 440 nt
Filed under: uncultured bacterium
Lineage: Bacteria
Description: partial 16S ribosomal RNA
Rfam family: Bacterial small subunit ribosomal RNA
Source: RNAcentral